GGGGCCAUUGUUAGGGUUUUAAAGCUUCCAAGCUCCAUAGUAAGUGAUUCUAAGCCCCGUUUUUAAUGUUCUUUACGUUUUUGGAGUCCCGGUAACUUGAUUUUGCUUAUUCUAGCAAUAAUUUAAUCUAGGGUUUAUAUUUGGAAAAAUACUCAUAUGUGAAAUGUGUUUAUUUUGAUGUUUUAUGGUAGAAUAUGAAGCUAGAAAUUAUGUUAAGCAACUUUUGCUAAGCGAUUUUGAGUGAAAACGAGUAAAACGACAUAAUCGAUAAAAAUACUAAAUGUUUAUAAGUAAGUGUUAGAGUGGGAAUUUGGUGUUGCCAUAGAAGGGAAAAAUGUUCAGCAUGUCAUAAUACAUAAGAAUAAGGGAUAAAGUUUAAUUUCCGAGCCUAGGGGUAAAAUUGUAAUUUUGUGAAACUUUAGGGGCAAAAAUGUAAUUUUUCCAAAAUGUGAUUUUUGGACUAGAUUGAAAAAUGUGAGUGUUAAAUAAAUUAAAUGUGUUAUUAUAAGUCAAGAAAGACAAGGAAUUGACUUUGAUUAGUAAAAAAAAAUGAGAAAAAGUGAGAAAUUUCCCGAUUGAACAUUCGGAAUAAAAAGGGAUACGAAUGAAGUGACAGAAAUGAUCACAUAUGUGGCAUGGACUGUGUGUAGGCCACUAUGUGAAAGUGAAAGUGAUGGUCACGUUUGUAGUACUAUGUGUAGGCUACUACGUGUACCAGAAUGAUAGGUCGCAUGUGUAGUACUAUGUGCAGGCUACUAUGCGUAUCGAAUAGCUUCGAUCACGUGUGUAGUACUAUGUGUAGGCUACUACGUGUACCAGAAUGAUAGGUCGCAUGUGUAGUACUAUGUGCAGGCUACUAUGCGUACCGGAUAGCUUCGAUCACGUGUGUAGUACUAUGUGCAGGCUACUACGUGUAUCGGAUAGUGAUGGUCACAUGUGUAGUACUAUGUGCAUGCUACUAUGUGAAUCCGCAUCAUUGAAUAUAAAGGUGGUUGCUAAGUGCUGAUUCCACCGUAUCCUUAACUGUGAAAGGGGUUGCUAUGUGCUGAUUCCCUGUAUCAUUGAAUAUAAAGGUGGUUGCUAAGUGCUGAUUCCACCGUAUCCUUGACUGUGAAAGGGGUUGCUAUGUGCUGAUUCCCCGUAUCAUCGAUUAUAAGGUGGUUGCUAAGUGCUGAUUCCACCGUGUAACGGUUAAUAUUCCGAAGUGUUCAUCGGGGAAAUUAGAUAAGUGAAAAUAUAUGUGAAUCGAAUAAGGUUACGUGAUGAAUAUUGGGUUCGAUAUUUAAUCGACCCCUAUGUAGGAUGAAAAGAAGUAAUGAAAUUAUGAAAAAGUAAAAUGUGCAACAAAACAGUUUUAGAAAGUAACAAUAGUGUGACUUUGAAAAAUCACCAAAAAUGGUGGAAAUUUAAUUAUAGAGUGAAUAAGAUAUGAAAUGAAAGCUUAAGGAGUCUAUUUUUACAUGAAAUAAACAAGGAAAGCAAAAGAGUUACACAUUUUUAGAUAUUUGAAUUUUAGUGAGACAGGGUCGGAUUGAUUUUGGAAUCCCCUGUUCUGACUUUGGAAAAUAGUUAAAAAUUGUACAAAAAUAAUUAUGAGUUAUAAUUUAUAUGCUUAGAAUCCUUAAUGAGUCUAUUUUCAAAGGAAAGAAACGUAAAUAUCAUCCGAAUUCUGUACAAUGAGAUAAUUCAUUUUUACUGAAGAGAGGUCAGUGAUGUUGAGCAGUGAAACAGGGGUGAGUUUAAAGAAUAAACUGUACUAAUUGGCCAAGUAAAAAAUUCUGAAAAUUUUAUGAUAAGAAUAAAUGUGAGUCUAGUUUUAGGGAAAAUUAACAGAUCUUAGUUUGGAGCUCUGUAGCUUCAGAUAAAAAUGAUUUAGUGACUCUGACUCAAAUAGACAACUUUGAAUUUAAAUAUAAGUGAAUAGUAAAAUUAUGUAUAAUGCUAUUUAAGCAUGUUUUAUACAUAAAGGAUGUGGAAUGGAGAGGAGGAGGAGGACAAUAAAAUGUAGGAAAGAAUUGUGUAUAAUGGUCAUAUGCCCGAUUAUAAUCGGUAAAUGUUAAAUUGAAUGGUAAAUACGUAUUGGUACCGAAGGAACUAUUGCGGUGUUGAAAAGCAAUUGAUCAAAUAUAUAAGAAAUUUAGUCUUGAUAUAUAUAUAUGAUAAUAAUGAUAUAUGGAUGAUUAUAUCAUUGAGUUGCAUUGAUUAAUUCGGUUUAUGUGAUGGAAAUGUCAAGAACAUUUGUCUUUGAUAUGUGAUGAUCAUGGUUUAAGCUAAUAUGGAAAAAUAAAGUUUCAUAGUAUGAGAGUGUGGUAUUGAAAUAUAUAUAUUGGAUUGAGAAAUUAAUUUGAAUCGUGAACACGAAAUAUUAUGAAUUGAAUAAAAUGGAAAUGGAACUUUGAAUUACAUGAGUAAGUAUUGGGUCUCGUAGGCCCUAUCUGUUAUGAAUAUAAUAUUUUGAGGAUAUGUUAUAAAGAAUUAUAAAAGCAUGUUAAAAAUUUGAAGAGUUUAAAUUUGAAUGAAAUUUUGUAACUCGGUUUAAUACGUUUACAUGUGUAAGUGUUCUAGUAAUGCCUCAUACCCUAUUUCGGAGUUGAAUACGGGUAAGGGGUGUUACACUAAAAGUGGGAUUAAAAUUUGGCAUGAGAUAUUUGCAAUUUUUGGUCCCUAAUUAUAUAGUGACUUUACAAAUUGAUCCCUGAAUCUCAACUAUAAAUAGGCCUAACGAUUUCUCAUUUUGAUUAUCCCCCACUUUUGUCAUUCUCUCCUUAAGGCAUUGUUUUCUCUCUUUAUUUGUAAAUUUUCACUUGUAUUUUGAAGUAAAAUAUAUAUGUUAGUGCCUGAGGACGUAGGCAAAAUUUGCUGAACCUCUUUAAAAUUCUUGUGUACUUUAUUGUUUAUUUUGCAUAUUUUGUGAGAGUGAUUGUAGUGAUUUAUUGUGCGGUUAAAUUACGAUAGAGGGAUAUUCUGGCUAGGAAAGACCUAGUACUUAAGUGAUCCACGUGACCCAGCUCUCUUUCCUGGGAAUUAAACUUAGUGUACUUUUUUAGUACAAUAAUUUUACUCUUUUACAAGCUUCCGCACAACAAUUGGUAUUGGAGCCAAGUUUGUACUUGGAGAAUACGACCGUUUAUGACACUUUGCGUAUACGGUAUUGCCCAUCCACGGCACUAUUCAUGUCGACAGUAUUGUUCACAUAUACAGUAGUUGGGAUUGAGGAGAAAAAAUGGCAGAGGCAUCAUCGUUAGCAAAGACUACUGUGACCAAUGCAAAAUUUGAAGUAGAGAAAUUUGAUGGUACCAAUAAUUUUGGUAUGUGACAAUGUGAGAUCCUGGAUGUCUUAUGUCAGCAAGAGCUGGAUAUAACCCUUGAAGAGAAACCUAACAAGAUGGAUGACAAGGAGUGGGCCAAGAUCAAUAGAUAGGCGUAUGGUACAAUCCGCCUAUGUUUGGUCAAAGAGCAGAAGUAUUCUGUCAUGAGGGAGAUAUCAGUGAAAAAGUUGUGGGAUACACUGGAAGAAAAGUUUCCAACGAAAAGUCUUGAAAAUAGGCUUUAUAUGAAAAAGAAACUUUAUCAAUUCACGUAUGCACCUGGUAUGUCGAUGAAUGACCAUGUGAACUCAUUCAAUAAAAUUUUAGAAGACUUACUAAAUUUGGAUGAGAAAUUUGAAGAUGAAGACAAUACAUUAUUGUUGUUGAAUUCUCUUCCUGAUGAAUAUGAUCAUCUUACCACCACAUUGCUUCAUGGGAAGGAUACGAUCACAUUUGAUGCAGUCUGUAGUGCAUUGUAUAGAUCACAGAGAUACAACUGCAGAAGUCUUAACAGUAAGAGGUCGUUCGCACAGCAACAAACCUGGUAGAAGGAGUAAGUCCAAAGGGAGACCUGCCAAAGCUGAAUGUGCUUUUUGUCGUGAGAAAGGGCAUUGGAAAAAGAAUUGUAAGUUAAAAAAGGGCAAUGCGAUUUCUGAUGCAUGUGUAGCAGAGCAUGAUGAGGAGUCAGAUUCUAGCUUGGUUGGUUGGCAUGUGGGCCUAAUGGUUGGGCAUGUGGGGUUGGAUAAUUGGGUUUUAAAUAAUCUAAUUUUGGACUUGUUUGGGCUUUAGCCCAUCGGUGUUUUUGUUUUUUAUGUUUUAAUAAUAUUAAUAAAAUAAUAAUAAAUCAAAAAAAUAUAAAAAAAUUACAUUUUGGCCCCUAAACUUUUUCAAAUUUACAUUUUGACCCCUAACUUUUUUGAAUUUGCAUCUUAACCCUUAAUUUUUUUUAUAAAUUAUAUUUAGGCCCUUAAACUUUCCAAAAAUUACAUUUUGGCCCCAUAUUUUCCUAAAAUUGCACUUUUACCCCAAAAAUUUUGCACCUUCUGCAGUUUGGUCCUUCUGGACUUGUCAAAUCGCCGCAACCAGCAGGCCAGCUCCAGCAGCCUCCCUAGGCCAUGAUUGCUCCACUGCCACCUGAAAAUAAAGAAGAAGAAGACAAAAUUAAAGGAUUUAAAAAGAAGGAAAAAAUAGAAGAGAGGGGGGAUUGGAGGAGCCAAGCAAGAAAAAAGAAAGCAAAAAUUUUUGAGAGAAAAAUCAAACAAACAGUAGUACAUUGCCGGCCAUCGCACCAACGCCACCGUGGCCACCGCCGCAUCACUCCCAUCGCCGGCACCUAGCAAAACAAACAACAACCAAGAAGCAAAAAAAAAAAGAGCAAGAAGCAAGCAACAAACAAAAAUAAAAGAGAAAGACAAAGGAAGAAAAAAAAAGAAGAAAAGGAAAAGGGGAGGAGAAGAGGAGAUAUCCACCGCGCGCCGCCGUCGAUCGUCGCACCAGGCCGGGGAGCACCGUCGGGGUUGCCGAAGAAGAAUAAAAAAGAGAGAAAAAAGAAAGAAGAAAAGGAAGAAAAAAGGGAAAGGAAAAAGAAGGAAAAUUUUAACAGUCGGGUCAAACUGACUCGACCCGACCCGUCCGCCCGUGACCCAACCCGGCACCAGCAACUUAGCAGGCCACCACAGCAAACAGCAGGCCCUAAAAAACAGCAGCAAAAAGAACAGCAGCAGGCCUGUCCAAGCCCAGCAACCCAGGCCCAAGCAGCAGGCCAUUCCAGCAGUCCAGCAGCUCCAGCCCAGCAGCUUCGGCCCAAUCCCUUGACAGCCCAAUAACAACAGCCCAACAGCAAAAAAU
RNAcentral lists this long non-coding RNA (5156 nucleotides) under Gossypium raimondii (Peruvian cotton). Its description in RNAcentral is "long non-coding RNA (GRAI_LNC000114)". The record is from RNAcentral. Lineage: Eukaryota; Viridiplantae; Streptophyta; Magnoliopsida; Malvales; Malvaceae.